Homo sapiens (human) is the source of this 331-nucleotide long non-coding RNA. NCBI's taxonomy places the organism in Eukaryota, Metazoa, Chordata, Mammalia, Primates, Hominidae. The record is from Ensembl.
ACUAACAGUGCUUAAAUACUGAACAGAAAGAAGAGGUAACUGUAAGAAUCGCCCUGGGAAUGCCUAAUCCAAGGAUAAGGCCGCCAGGACUUCACUUUGUGCUACUGCAAGUGCAUCAAAACCAAUAUUGUGUCUUUGGCAUUCGAAUCCAUGAACUUCUGGAAGAGAAACCAAAAAGCCAUGUCAGGUAUGGCUGGAGCCUGCAUUUUCAUUUGGGAGCAGAAGCAUGUCACAUAGUCUUCUAAAAAGAGAAAUUUUGCUUUAAAAAUGACACAACAAAAUAAAAUGCUGACUGAGUCAUGGUAAAAAGCAGUCUUUGAAUUUGAAUAAA